UGAAUUUUUUUUCUUAUUAAUUUGUUUUUAAUAUUAUCAAUAUGUGAAAAAUAAUUUAUUUUUUAGUAAGUUUUAGUGAAAUUAAAAAAAAGAUUAAAGUGAAGAGUACUGUAAAGGAGAGAAGAUUAUAAUUUUAUAGAAGAGAUAAAGUAAUAAUAAAUAUGUGUACCUUGGGUAUAAGGGGGAAUUUAUAUAUUUUAGUAAAUAUUAAAGAUCUCGAAAUAAAAAUAGUUAAUAUUGUAUAAGAGUUUUUGUAGUAUAAAAAUUUUUAAUAUAAUAUUAAAGGUGAAAUGUUAGGCGAGUUUUAUAAUAUCUAGUUUUCUGGGAAGUAAAUAUAAUUUAGUUCUUACAGUGAUAUUAUGUAAGAUUAAAAAGUAGAAGGGGUAAGCUUUUUACUUUAUAGUUUAAAAUAGUUAAAUGAGUUUGUUUAUUAAUUAAUCUAAGCUUAAAAGUAGCUAUGUUUGUAAGGUGUUUUAAUGUAAAGUUAUUGAGGUUGAGAUUAUAUAACUUUUUAAAAGUAUUGGAAAUUUAUUUUGAAUGUUAUAAAAUGAGUUAGAAUGAUUUUAUUAGUAGAAACUAGUUGGUAUUAGUAAAGGAGAUAUAACAAAUAGUAUAUAUAUAUAAGUAUAUAAAGGAGUAUUUUAAAGGAACUUGGCAAAUAAUAUUCUUUGCCUGUUUAUCAAAAACAUGUCUGUUUGGAGAUAUAAAAAGUCUGGCCUGCCCACUGAUAUUUAAGUUUAAGGGCCGCGGUAUUAUGACCGUGCAAAGGUAGCAUAAUCAUUAGGUUUUUAAAUGGAAUCUUGUAUGAAUGGUUGAACAAAAGAAAAGCUGUCUUUAAAAUAAUAUUUGAAUUUAACUUUUAAGUGAGAAGGCUUAAAUAUUCUAGAGGGACGAUAAGACCCUAUAAAGCUUUAUAUUAUAGUUAUAUUUAAUUAAAUUUGGUUAAUAAAAGUUUAAUUUAAUUAUUAUGUUAUGUUGGGGAGAUAUUAGUAAAAUUUUAGAUAACUGCUAGAAAAAGAGACAAAUAUAAGUGAUUAAAAUAAUAGGAGAUCCUAAGUAUAGAUUAAAAGAUUAAGUUACUUUAGGGAUAACAGUGUAAUUUUUUUUGAGAGUUCAUAUCGAAAAAAAAGUUUGCAACCUCGAUGUUGAAUUAAGAUAUCUUUAUAAUGUAGAUGUUAUAUUAGAAGGUCUGUUCGACCUAAA
RNAcentral lists this ribosomal RNA (1203 nucleotides) under Sartoriana spinigera. RNAcentral describes it as "partial 16S ribosomal RNA". The record is from RNAcentral. Lineage: Eukaryota; Metazoa; Arthropoda; Malacostraca; Decapoda; Gecarcinucidae.